Molecule: microRNA precursor, 63 nt
Filed under: Branchiostoma lanceolatum (amphioxus)
Lineage: Eukaryota; Metazoa; Chordata; Leptocardii; Amphioxiformes; Branchiostomatidae
Description: Bla-Mir-210_pre stem-loop
Source: RNAcentral
CGCCUCUGUUUCGCGCGCAAGAUGUGAUUUCAGUCCUUCUCCUGUGCGUGUGACAGCGGCUGA